CUUGUACUCCCUCCGUCCGGAAUUACUUGUCGUGAAAAUGAAUAAAAAUAGAUGUAUCUAAAACUAAAAUACAUCUAAAUACAUUCAUUUCUCCAACAAGUAUUUCCGGACGGAGGGAGUAAUUU
This is a non-coding RNA of Triticum urartu, 125 nucleotides long. Lineage: Eukaryota; Viridiplantae; Streptophyta; Magnoliopsida; Poales; Poaceae. The record is from Rfam.